AGCUUUGCGCAGUGGCAGGAUCGUAGCCAAUGAGGUUUACCCGAGGCGCGAUUAUUGCUAAUUGUUAAGAGGAAGAUGAAGAAAUACAGUCAAUUCCCAGGAA
Molecule: small nuclear RNA, 103 nt
Filed under: Octodon degus (degu)
Lineage: Eukaryota; Metazoa; Chordata; Mammalia; Rodentia; Octodontidae
Description: U4 spliceosomal RNA (ENSODEG00000025719.1)
Rfam family: U4 spliceosomal RNA (bases 1-68)
About the family: U4 small nuclear RNA (U4 snRNA) is a component of the major U2-dependent spliceosome. The structure of U4 snRNA from yeast and human has been reported.
Source: RNAcentral